Molecule: long non-coding RNA, 507 nt
Organism: Homo sapiens (human)
Lineage: Eukaryota; Metazoa; Chordata; Mammalia; Primates; Hominidae
Exons: 2
Source: RefSeq, a predicted model, not a curated record
GAGGGACAGAUCCUCCCUGCAUCCAAAGGCCUCCUCAGUCUGCAGUUCCAGCUCCAGCCCCUCACAGUGCUUUUCAAGCCAUGCUUCCUGUGCCCCCAGUGGGGCCCUGGCUGGGAUAUCAUCAUAUACUGUAAGUUUGCGAUGAGACACUACAGUAUAGAUGAUGUACUAGUCCGGGCACCCCCAGCUCUGGAGCCUGACAAGGAGGACAGGAGAGAUGCUGCAAGCCCAAGAAGCUCUCUGCUCAGCCUGUCACAACCUACUGACUGCCAGGGCACUUGGGAAUGGCAAGGAAACCGUUACCAUUACUGAGUUUAGUAAUGGUAAUGGUUCUCUUGCUAUACCCAGAAAACGUGCCAGGAAGAGAACUCAGGACCCUGAAGCAGACUACUGGAAGGGAGACUCCAGCUCAAACAAGGCAGGGGUGGGGGCGUGGGAUUGGGGGUAGGGGAGGGAAUAGAUACAUUUUCUCUUUCCUGUUGUAAAGAAAUAAAGAUAAGCCAGGCA